This 350-nucleotide RNase P RNA is filed under the name Cytophagaceae bacterium. RNAcentral describes it as "RNase P RNA component class A". It matches the Rfam family "Bacterial RNase P class A". From Rfam's summary of the family: Ribonuclease P (RNase P) is a ubiquitous endoribonuclease, found in archaea, bacteria and eukarya as well as chloroplasts and mitochondria. The record is from RNAcentral. Lineage: Bacteria; Pseudomonadati; Bacteroidota; Cytophagia; Cytophagales; Cytophagaceae.
GAAAUAAGCUAACCUAUCGCUGCGGGUGACCGUAGAGGAAAGUCCGAACAACAAAGAGCAUCAUGCUACCUAACGGGUAGGGUUUCAUUUUAAUGAAAUACAGAAAGUGCCACAGAAAUAAUACCGCCCAGCAAUUGCGGGGUAAGGGUGAAAUGGAGGUGUAAGAGACCCCCGAGCCGAUUGCGAAAUUGGCUGCAUUGGUAAACCUCAUGAGUUGAAAGACCAAAUAUACCGACAUUGCAGGGCUGCUCGCCUUAGUCGGAGGGUAGGUCGCUAGAGUGAAGAAGUGAUUUUUCACCGAGAUAAAUGAUAGGAAAAUACAGAAUUCGGCUUAUUAGCUUAUUUCUUUU